UCAUACAGGCAAAAGCCCUCAUUUGUUACUUUUCAAUUACAUUUCAAUUGGAAUAAUAUGAAUUUUAAUACAUCGUUUUGUGAAUCAAUAGCACAACCAGAUCACAUCUCUGCUGAAGUAGCACUAUUUUUUUGAAUACUCGCCAAGUCCCAGAGAUUGGAAAACAGAGUAAAAUCUGUAUUAAAGAUUUGUUGUGGUUCCACCAUCUUUGCGUAGCUCCGCUUUGCUGCUUUCACUCGGUAAGGAGCUGAGUUUAUGGUCUGUGUGGUUCAGGGUCAUUUGCCAUGGUAACAGUGGACCAGGUCAGAAGGUGAUUGGCUUAGCUGAGAAGGGUGCUGGCGGCUGUUUGUUGAUUCUCUGAUAGGGGUGACCUACCCCUGACCUCCACACAAAUCAAUACUGCCUCCUUAAACUUUCAUUUGUCCUCAUUUGGUCAUGCUCACCCGCGCUUGGGAGCAAUUAAAGUGUGUCUUUUUAAAUCUAGAAAAAGCACGGCUUUACCGCAAACCGAAUUUAGAUGGAGACAUCUUUAUGCACUAUUAUUCAUAUAUUGAAAGUUGCAAUGUUACUGUACUCUUAAGAAGCUCUAAGAAAAUAUUGGUUUGCUUAGAUUUGCUGUAUGUCCGGGUUUUUACGUCUGUAGCGUAAUCUAAAAUAGAAAUGGAAACUGGCCUGGCUCUUUUUUUUUUUUUUUUUAAGAGUAGGCGAACAGAAGGUUAGUAAAUUUCCAGUCACAUGGUGAUUUCACAGAAUGAUUUUGUGUUCUGUUUAUAGAGAAUUUGCGUGGUACAGGGAGUCCCUCCAACGCAGGAAAGCCUUUGAGAAGCUCCUUCCUGUUUCUUUACCUCCUCUUCAUUGCACUUUUGUUUCUUUCUCUCCUCUCACCCCCUCAUUCUCACUUUCACCACCCGUAAUCCCCGGUGUAGCCCACGAGGUUACAAUGUUCCUCUGCAUGGCAGCAGGGCUGUGUGGGCUCCUUGUUGUUUUUGUUUUUUUUCUUUUGUUUUUUGUUUUUUUCUUUUUUGCACAUCUCACAUGUAUUUCUCCAUUCUGGGUUCACCCUUUUCCACUCCCCCACAAAGGGAAUCACCUCACUGGAAGGCGUUUUUGUUAAUUAUGUGGGCAGUUACACUGAAACAUUAUAGUCAUACACAGAGUGAGUGACAUAACAUGGUGUCAUGACAGGUCAAAAAUACAAUCUGUGCCUCUGAGCUUGUUUGUGACCGUGUGUCAGACUCAAAGCUUCGAUACUUUAUUGCUGCAUCAGUGUAACUGGCAGGAAAUUGCCUCGGUUCAGCUUAAGGUACGAAACAUAAACAGCAUUAGAUGUUUGCUUUACAGUGACGCACGCACAACUACUGCUGAGCAAAUUCUCACUGCGGAUUGGUUUCAAGAAAGUAUUACUAUGAGUUUCAUAUUGGGAACAAAAGGCUAAAUAAUUUCUUUUGUAAAGUCACUGUCCUGUUCUUCUAGCUCUUACUUCCAUCAUAUUCGUGGUUUUAAUAUAGAACUGGCUGCUAUUAUUCAUAGAAAAAGAUACAGUGUUAAGUUUCAUGAGAUGAGUAAUGUUUGCUUGUUAUAUAAAUGUGUGAUGGCAUCAAAACAUUUAUUUGGAAAUGCCACAGAUUAUUAAUGUAACUCUGGC
Astatotilapia calliptera (eastern happy) is the source of this 1645-nucleotide long non-coding RNA. The record is from Ensembl. NCBI's taxonomy places the organism in Eukaryota, Metazoa, Chordata, Actinopteri, Cichliformes, Cichlidae.